Molecule: ribosomal RNA, 176 nt
Filed under: bacterium enrichment culture DGGE band D8
Lineage: Bacteria
Description: partial 16S ribosomal RNA
Rfam family: Bacterial small subunit ribosomal RNA
Source: RNAcentral
UACUCCUACGGGAGGCAGCAGUAGGGAAUAUUGCACAAUGGAGGAAACUCUGAUGCAGCGACGCCGCGUGAGUGAUGAAGGCCUUCGGGUCGUAAAGCUCUGUCGCAGGGGAAUAACACAAUGAAUGUACCCUGUAAGAAAGGAUCGGCUAACUUCGUGCCAGCAGCCGCGGUAAU